RNAcentral lists this unclassified non-coding RNA (216 nucleotides) under uncultured Tomentella. Its description in RNAcentral is "sequence contains ITS2". The record is from RNAcentral. RNAcentral also lists the same sequence under 1 other name. Lineage: Eukaryota; Fungi; Basidiomycota; Agaricomycetes; Thelephorales; Thelephoraceae.
ACACCUCAACUCUCAUGGUUUACCAUGAUGAGCUUGGACUUUGGAGGUCUUGCUGGCUGGUGGCCAGCUCCUCUCAAAUGAAUCAGCUUGCCAGUGUUUGGUGGCAUCAUGGGUGUGAUAACUAUCUACGCUUGUGGUUUUUCACCAGGUAACCUCCAGUGAUGGAGGUUCGCUGGAGCUCACAAACGUCUCUCCCUGUGAGGACAAUUUCUGAAC